GUGAUUAGCUUCUCAUCUUGUGCUGUGGGGUGUUCUCCAUCGCUGGGCUGGGCUCCCCUCCACUGCAGACAAAUAAGGCCCAACAAAGCCCCAUGAUGGUGGGGAAGUGCCCUGCCUCACUGGGGGAGAGCAGGAGAAAAUGUCACCCAGGCUAUUUCCAGCUUUGUAACUAUGUUUUUCUAGGAGGAGGGAAGGCAGACUAGCCAGAGGAAUGUGGAGCAGCCAAAGGAGCCUGCUGGCCUGCUGCUUCCCCAGGGGAAAAGCAAAGCAAACAGGAGAUGAAAAGCCUGUGAUGCCAUCUCCAUCCUCAGAAGAGUGCCUUGCCUACCACACUACCACAUUUUUUGUGUGUGGGUGGGUGGGUGGAGAAAAGAACAAAGAUCACUCAAAGUCUUCUGCUCAAGUUAUUCCAUGUUGCGUAAAAAUAUGGUAAUGCUCAUCUGAGGACACGCUGGAGCCUAAACCCUCCCAGGUGAGUGCCGGAGACAUUAGGCAAUAGCACCUUCCUUUUCCUUCUUGGCCUAGCACUGGAUGCUGAGCAAAAUGGAAAGCUGGGAGAAAGCAUUGCCCUGCCCUAGGCUGUGGUUGGAGCUGAGCAAGAAUCCUCUGUGGAGAGCCGGACUGCAGCAGGAGCCUCCUGUGCCCCAGGCAGAGCACUCACCAGGCAUCCAGCAGCCUGCCAGCAGCUGGCACCAUUUUGAGUGCCCAGAGCACAACCAAGCGGCUGCUCCAUACAAUCCAUGAUGGGCACCCAGGGCACAAGGGUGAGUAAUGCCAAAGACCAAAACAAAGCUUUUAAGGUGAGGGAGCAGGAGCUUUAAUCUCUCUCUUAAUCAGAGGUUUUCAGAAAGUCCCACCUGGGGUUGGUCACAGUCUCCACCUUUUGCCAGGACACAUUCUUCCUCAGAAAUAUUUGCAAUUGCUUUGUACCAGCUGAAACAAAAGCAGGGUCACAUGGCAGCAACAUGAGGGAACACAGCAAAGGUAGUGCGUGGGAAAGAAAACCAAUCAAAAAGAAGUAUUUUCUAGUUGGAUGCAGGCAUUAAAGACUGGCUUGCUGCUUUGAGCACAAUUGUUUAGCCAGCUACAGGUGCUGUCCCAGACUGCAGGGACUCAGGGGCUGAAAGCAGACAAAUGUAACAGCUCUGAUGGGUUAAGAACAUAGGAGAAACAAGAUGCAUAGAGAGAGAAAUGUUUUUAUUAGUCCAGCUGAUAUAGCUAGAAAAAAAUAGACAAGUUUUCAGGCAACUCCUUUCAUUAGGUAAUUGCUGUGAGCGCAGUAACGACGCUGUGUUGAGGAGAGGCACCACUAAAUGAACACUCUCUGAUUACAAGAAGCAAAACCAGCUAUUUGCCAAGCGUCUGUGAACAGUGACAUGAAGCACAGCAUGGGGGAUCUAAAGAAUAUACAGAGCCAACCGGUUGUCUCUUGCACCAUUUUCUCUUCCCUGCUUUCACAAGCUUCGUACAGAAAACUCCUGUGCUGAUUAACUCAAAUACAGGAACACCCAGUACAGAACAAAACUCUUACAUAUGAUCUCCUCUCCCCCACCCAAUUAACUUUGAAACAGAUACAAAGCUGUAUUAAAAGAAAAAAAAAUCUUAUCUGAAAUGUUCACUCAGCCUUUUCUCACCAAAAUUAAAUUAGCUUACCCCAGCUGGAAUCAUCUCUUCAGCUAAGUGACAGCCUGCAAUCACAGCCUUAGAAAUAUCACAGCCUUUACAAAAGAAAGCAUCAGUUAUCUACACAAA
Long non-coding RNA from Motacilla alba alba, 1752 nucleotides. RefSeq lists it as uncharacterized. The transcript is spliced from 2 exons. The record is from RefSeq and is a predicted model, not a curated record. NCBI's taxonomy places the organism in Eukaryota, Metazoa, Chordata, Aves, Passeriformes, Motacillidae.